Molecule: long non-coding RNA, 551 nt
Filed under: Brassica napus (rape)
Lineage: Eukaryota; Viridiplantae; Streptophyta; Magnoliopsida; Brassicales; Brassicaceae
Description: long non-coding RNA (BNAP_LNC019938)
Source: RNAcentral
AGGAGGGAUCUGGCGGGUCAGGGGGAAUAUCACCGGAGGUGGGAGACGACAGUUUCAGACCGGAAGUACCGCCGGGAACAGCCCAACGAAAGUGCAUUAGUAACCGAGUCAGAGAGAGUUUAACUUCUUUUUUUUUCUUUUCUAGUUUAUAUUGUAGAGGAGAAAAAACACGAAGUUGGACCAAUUUCAGAUUCAUACUAAUAGUUCAAAAAAGCAUCUUCACCUUAAUCUAUAACACGAAGUUGGACCAAUUUAAAUUAACGUGUUUAACGAAUUUACCAAAUCAACAUGUCCUUAGUCUAAAUUCAAAAUUAACGCGUAACAUACCUAACCUUAGUCUCUACAUAUAAAUACACGAAGUUAUAAUUUUUAAACCAAGUGCAUCAAAACCCCAACACAACAGUUACAAAAAAAAACCCAAACAAAAAAUGUAUGUGGUUCGUUUAAUAACUUUGAUGAUUCUACUGUUCUUUGCAUCAUCAAACACAAUCUUGGCCCGAUUACCAUUCGAUUACCAAUCUCUCAAUACAGGUAAGUUUCUAAUCAUGAGA